CCCGCGCAGCUGCCCCGGCCCUGAUUGAAAGUUGAUAAAUGGCUCCCUGUUUCACUCUACCAAAGUUACUGCAAUCGAACUGGCAAAUAUUUACCUUGGAAUCCGAGUGACUGAAAAUAUUUGGUUGGAGCCAGAUGCGUCGCGUGUCUGUCCCUGAAAUAUUAGCUAAAGGAGUGAUUUAGGAAAAUAAAAUGGUGGGUGGGGUGCCUGCCUGCCAGAGCUGUUUGCUUUCCUCCGGCUCCUGCGGAGCGAGUGGAGCUUCUAACAAUUCCCGUGAACAGCUGGGAAGCAGGCCAGACUGGGAGAGAGAAAGAGUCUGUUUUGGUUCGGGGUGUAUAGUUUUACAUAAAUCAGAGAUGUGGAAAUAUACAUCUUCCUUAAAGGCUCUUAGUAAUACUCUCAAAACGAUUGACCCUGGAGAAAUAAAACUGUGAAGUGGUUUUGUUACGUCCUUAGUUCUAGAGCUCAUCUAAAAUAAGGGCACAGUUUCUUGAGAACUGACAACUCUUCUCAGAAAUUCUGCUGUUCUCUGAGCGACUUGUCUGUCCUGAAGUGUGGGCGAACCAAUUCAGAUGGCUUAAUGUUGAACAAGGUGGUCACUGCGUGUCUGGCACUGUGGUCAGCUCUUUUGGCCCACUGUCUAGCAAUUCUCAAAACCAGCGCAAACCGGGGAUGAGUUAUCAUUAGCUAGCUCCAUUUUACAGAUGAGAAUCAGCUUCAGAAGCGUUGCCUGACUGAUCCAAGAGCUGGGAUUGGAACCCAGACAGUCUGACUCUCUCAGCUCUUUGCCUCCCCUUGAGAACGGCGGUUGUGAGGUGCGUCUCUGGCCUGCAGUUCCACGUGUGAGGGGAAUGAGACUCAUGCUGCUGUUUAGGAGGCUUUGUGUCUGUGGCCAAAGUUCACAGAGCCUAAAUUAUCGCUGCAGGUUGUCUAUACUUGGAAUGGAAAAAAAGUAUCUGACUAUCCCUGAGGCUGGCAGAUAUGCAGUCAAACCGCACUCCUUUGACGACGUGCUAAACAAGGUCACACCCAAUCAACUGAAGACCAAACCAAUUGAAUAGAGCCAAAAGCCUCAGAGGGAACUUUGCCCACCUGCCUGAUGAGCUGGAACGUUGGUCUUCUCUCGCCCUUGGACUAGAACUUACACCAUUAGCUCUCCUGGUUCUCAGGCUUUUGGAAUCAGAUUGGAACUACACCAGAGCCUCUCUUUCCUGGGUCUCCAGCUUACUGACUGCUGAUCUUAGGACUUCUCAGCCUCCAUAAUCAAGUGAACCAAUUCCUUACACUAAAUCUCUUGUAAAUAAUAAGAUGUAUAUAUCUCUCUCUAUAUAUACAUCUUACUGGUUCUCUUUCUCUAGGGGAAACAUGACUAAUACAGAGACUACAUGUCAGACCUCCUGGCUCCCAAUUCAAUGCCGUUUUUCGCUGAACUAUUCUGUUUCUCCAGGCUAAUAGAAAGGAGAUUUCCUAGGGAACUUCAAACCCACUUCCCAUACCUAAAACCUCCCAGUCUUGGACCAACAGUGACCAGUGAAAAAUGAGUCUCCAUGUAGAUACCAGGAGAUCGUUAGUGAUACACAAAGUGUAAGUUUGUGGGUGCCCUGGGAUCA
This is a long non-coding RNA of Equus caballus (horse), 1610 nucleotides long. Lineage: Eukaryota; Metazoa; Chordata; Mammalia; Perissodactyla; Equidae. The record is from Ensembl.